UUGCAAAUGAUUUAUUCUAAAUGACGAUGAUGAUAAUAAUAAACCUGCCUAGAUUCACAAUGGAUUCCAUUUUUGGUUCAAGAGGAGACAGAGCGCUAAAGGAGGAGGGGGGGAGGGGGUGUGUGGGGUUGGUUGAUUGUGGGGGAGAAGGGGGAGGAAGCAAGAGUAUGAACCCUUGGCUGCAUCCACUACAUCGCAAGUGCCAAAUCAUCAGACUAUAAGUAGGGCAUCAACAUUACUUCCAUAUUACUUAAAUUAUAACUCACAUGUUAAAUAAUAACGUUAUAGUCAGUGAUGCAUUUGUUCAAAAUACAUAUAUGGAGAUUUGAUUGACAAACAAUUCCCACAAGGCCACAGCUCACAAAGCAAAACUUGAUCGGCAAAUCCCACGAGACAGCAAAAUAAUGGCAACUGAGGACUAAGAAGAAGAAUAAUGCGGCUUGAAAUUUUGAUUAACACAGCUUAACAAAAUCAAUUAACCUCCUCUCCCCUCUUUCUUGUUUUUGAACAAUAAAAAUUUCAUCCAAUGGGCCAGAAAUUUCGCAUUCAUGUACUUGUUUCAUCGUGCAAAAAUCAAAGAACAAGUGAGAUGCAAAUUAUCCACUAAAAAGAUAAAAUUUAAAGCAAAAUUUGUCAUGUACUUUUUCUCAGUGAAGCUUACAACAAUACUUACAGCUGUAAAGACGCUGCAGAAUGG
This 697-nucleotide unclassified non-coding RNA is filed under the name Hevea brasiliensis (rubber tree). Lineage: Eukaryota; Viridiplantae; Streptophyta; Magnoliopsida; Malpighiales; Euphorbiaceae. The record is from RNAcentral.